Non-coding RNA from Caenorhabditis elegans, 21 nucleotides. The record is from Ensembl. Lineage: Eukaryota; Metazoa; Nematoda; Chromadorea; Rhabditida; Rhabditidae.
UGUUCAGCAUUUAAAACUCCU